RNAcentral lists this ribosomal RNA (451 nucleotides) under uncultured bacterium. RNAcentral's name for it is "bacterial SSU rRNA". It matches the Rfam family "Bacterial small subunit ribosomal RNA", at positions 335 to 799 of the family's 1533-position model. The record is from RNAcentral.
ACUCCUACGGGAGGCAGCAGUGGGGAAUAUUGCACAAUGGGCGCAAGCCUGAUGCAGCAACGCCGUGUGAGUGAAGAAGGUUUUCGGAUCGUAAAACUCUGUCCUAAGGGAAGAAACAAAUGACGGUACCUUAGGAGGAAGCCCCGGCUAACUACGUGCCAGCAGCCGCGGUAAUACGUAGGGGGCAAGCGUUAUCCGGAAUCACUGGGCGUAAAGGGUGCGUAGGCGGCUUAGCAAGCCAGGGGUGAAAGGCAUUGGCUCAACCAAUGUAAGCCUUUGGAACUGUUAAGCUUGAGUGCAGGAGAGGUAAGUGGAAUUCCUAGUGUAGAGGUGAAAUUCGUAGAUAUUAGGAGGAACACCAGUGGCGAAGGCGACUUACUGGACUGUAACUGACGCUGAAUGCACGAAAGCGUGGGUAGCGAACAGGAUUAGAUACCCUGGUAAGCACAGA